UACAGAGGGGGCAAGCGUUGUUCGGAAUUACUGGGCGUAAAGGGCGCGUAGGCGGCCUUCUAAGUCGAACGUGAAAUCCCCGGGCUCAACCUGGGGGCUGCGCUUGAUACUGAUGAGCUUGAAUGCGGGAGAGGAUAGUGGAAUUCCCAGUGUAGAGGUGAAAUUCGUAGAUAUUGGGAAGAACACCGGUGGCGAAGGCGACCAUCUGGACGACAACUGACGCUGAGGCGCGAAAGCGUGGGGAGCAAACAGG
This 253-nucleotide ribosomal RNA is filed under the name uncultured bacterium. Its description in RNAcentral is "partial 16S ribosomal RNA". It matches the Rfam family "Bacterial small subunit ribosomal RNA", at positions 524 to 776 of the family's 1533-position model. The record is from RNAcentral.